Molecule: ribosomal RNA, 502 nt
Filed under: uncultured bacterium
Lineage: Bacteria
Description: partial 16S ribosomal RNA
Rfam family: Bacterial small subunit ribosomal RNA
Source: RNAcentral
AUUGAACGCUGGCGGCAGGCUUAACACAUGCAAGUCGAGCGGGGUGAUGGUGCUUGCACUAUCACUUAGCGGCGGACGGGUGAGUAAUGCUUAGGAAUCUGCCUAUUAGUGGGGGACAACAUCUCGAAAGGGAUGCUAAUACCGCAUACGUCCUACGGGAGAAAGCAGGGGAUCACUUGUGACCUUGCGCUAAUAGAUGAGCCUAAGUCGGAUUAGCUAGUUGGUGGGGUAAAGGCCUACCUAGGCGACGAUCCCUAGCUGGUCUGAGAGGAUGACCAGCCACACUGGAACUGAGACACGGUCCAGACUCCUACGGGAGGCAGCAGUGGGGAAUAUUGCACAAUGGGCGCAAGCCUGAUGCAGCCAUGCCGCGUGUAUGAAGAAGGCCUUCGGGUUGUAAAGUACUUUCAGCGAGGAGGAAGGCAUUGUGGUUAAUAACCACAGUGAUUGACGUUACUCGCAGAAGAAGCACCGGCUAACUCCGUGCCAGCCGCCGCGGUAA